CAUCGAGGGGAAUUGAGUUUGGUGCCCCACCCCUUAGGCUUUGCACCCCACUUUAUUAAAUACGGAAUUUAAAGUUCCGUAUUAAUACGGAAAAUAAAAUUCCGUAUCUGUUUUAGUAUAUAAUGAGUGGUUGAAAAUGUGACACGCAUGCUUAAAUACAGUACGGAAUUUUAAGUUCCGUAUUCAAUAGGGAGAAUACGGAAUUUUAAAUUCCGUAUUUGAUAAAGUGGGGUGCCAAGCCCCAUAGGUGGGGUGUCAAACCCAACUCCCCUCAUCGAGACAUAGAAUAGAAUUAUAGAUCAACCUCAGAGUCCAGGAUCAGCAAUUGUCCUACGCCUCCGCCUCCCUAUGUCCUCGGCGUAGCCACACUUCCGCUCCUCGCUCCAUCGCUCUAUCGCCUCAGAUCAAUUCCACUCCUUCGACAUUCCUAGCCUGCCAAAAUAAAAUCUACACUGCUUAUGUUUCUUUUCUCUGUGAUUGCGAUUGCAUGCUUCUCAUCUUCCGUGGCUUGCAUGACUGUCUGUUUCAAAAUUGUAUAAUAUGGGUCAUUUCUUAAUGUUACACCAAUAGGACUAUUAUAAUCCAACGAACGGGGCAGCUAUUCCAAUAUGGGUGCCAGAUUAUGUUUUGGGGAGAUUAAGGAGCAAGAUAGAGAGAGAGGUUAAAGAGACGCAUGGAGAUGGUUGCCAAGAAACCAGAUACAUAAAUUGCGCAUAUGGUAGAGAUGCUUCAAUGUCUUGGUGGUUGUAAUCUGAAAUUUCCCAUGACAGAAUGCUGACAUCGGCAGAGCCAAGACAACAUGCAUCAUUUUGAUGAAGAAGAAAUCAACGACACAGAUGACAUUACUUCAGUUGAUGAAGAACAAAUUUUGAUUCAAACCUUGAGGACAAACACAUCUAAGAGAACCAAAGUUAGCAAUACAAACACCACUAGGAAGCCAAAAGGAAUAACAAGACAAUAAAAAUUAGAAAGAGCAAAUCCAUGCGUAGCUUAUAUUUCAUUUCCUGCACUCUACAUCAUGUAUUUGACUAUUUUAUUUCUAAAUCAAAAGCUUAGCUUAUUUACAUCAUGGUCAAAUAAUGGUUACCUUAGAUUUGAAAAUUACCACUCAUGUGUGAAUUGGAAAGAAAAACCACCACUGAUGCAUAAGAUGUAAUAGUAAUACUUAAACUCUACUAAUG
Long non-coding RNA from Lotus japonicus, 1181 nucleotides. RefSeq lists it as uncharacterized. The transcript is spliced from 4 exons. The record is from RefSeq and is a predicted model, not a curated record. Lineage: Eukaryota; Viridiplantae; Streptophyta; Magnoliopsida; Fabales; Fabaceae.